UACGUAGGCAGCGAGCGUUGUUCGGAGUUACUGGGCGUAAAGAGUGCGUAGGCGGUUUUCUAAGUUUGGUGUGAAAUCUCCCGGCUUAACUGGGAGGGUGCGCCGAAAACUGGAAGGCUUGAGUAUGGGAGAGGUAAGCGGAAUUCCUGGUGUAGCGGUGAAAUGCGUAGAUAUCAGGAGGAACACCGGUGGCGAAGGCGGGUCUCUGGGCAACAACUGACGCUGAGGAGCGAAAGCGUGGGGAGCGAACAGG
RNAcentral lists this ribosomal RNA (253 nucleotides) under uncultured bacterium. Its description in RNAcentral is "partial 16S ribosomal RNA". It matches the Rfam family "Bacterial small subunit ribosomal RNA", at positions 524 to 776 of the family's 1533-position model. The record is from RNAcentral.